UACGUAGGGUGCAAGCGUUGUCCGGAAUUAUUGGGCGUAAAGAGCUCGUAGGCGGUCUGUCGCGUCUGCUGUGAAAUCCCGAGGCUCAACCUCGGGCUUGCAGUGGGUACGGGCAGGCUAGAGUGCGGUAGGGGAGAAUGGAACUCCUGGUGUAGCGGUGGAAUGCGCAGAUAUCAGGAAGAACACCGAUGGCGAAGGCAGUUCUCUGGGCCGUAACUGACGCUGAGGAGCGAAAGCGUGGGGAGCGAACAGG
RNAcentral lists this ribosomal RNA (253 nucleotides) under uncultured bacterium. RNAcentral describes it as "partial 16S ribosomal RNA". It matches the Rfam family "Bacterial small subunit ribosomal RNA", at positions 524 to 776 of the family's 1533-position model. The record is from RNAcentral.